GAUGAACGCUGGCGGCGUGCCUAACACAUGCAAGUCGAGCGAUCUUCUUCGGAAGAGAGCGGCGGACGGGUGAGUAACGCGUGGGUAACCUGCCCUGUACACACGGAUAACAUACCGAAAGGUAUGCUAAUACGGGAUAACAUAAGAAAUUCGCAUGUUUUUCUUAUCAAAGCUCCGGCGGUACAGGAUGGACCCGCGUCUGAUUAGCUAGUUGGUGAGGUAACGGCUCACCAAGGCGACGAUCAGUAGCCGACCUGAGAGGGUGAUCGGCCACAUUGGAACUGAGACACGGUCCAAACUCCUACGGGAGGCAGCAGUGGGGAAUAUUGCACAAUGGGCGAAAGCCUGAUGCAGCAACGCCGCGUGAGCGAUGAAGGCCUUCGGGUCGUAAAGCUCUGUCCUCAAGGAAGAUAAUGACGGUACUUGAGGAGGAAGCCCCGGCUAACUACGUGCCAGCCGCCGCCGUAA
This 468-nucleotide ribosomal RNA is filed under the name uncultured bacterium. Its description in RNAcentral is "partial 16S ribosomal RNA". It matches the Rfam family "Bacterial small subunit ribosomal RNA", at positions 28 to 523 of the family's 1533-position model. The record is from RNAcentral.